GCUAUUCAGAUCGCUCUGGACUAGCUGCCAAUCACAGGGAAGACAGAAGUACAGCCAGUGAGCUCACCUGAACAGCCUGCGAAGUCAUACACAGAAUAAGAGAAAGACAUCAAGGGGCUCAUGGCUUUGUGGGUGCUCUUGGCACAGGGAAGUUGCAAGUACCGUUCCCCAGCUGAAUAGUUCUGAAUCCACGCCAGAUCCUUCUCAACAGUCUGUUUCACGGGAACCUUUAUUAACCGCUCCUUCCUCGUGAUGCAGUUCUGAAUCCUCCCUGUAGCAGGGGGUCUUCGCUCUUGCCUGAAGAUGUUUCUUUUCCCGGGUUUCAGCACCACUUGUUACGCGCGCUCAACAGGCCAGGAAGAACGACGCUGCUACAGGAUCCUUCUGCACACAUUUAUUCAGUCCUGUUUCUUCUUUCUCCAUAUAUCUCCCUUGUUUAUAUCUCCCUUGUUUAUAUAUCUCCCUUGUUUUUAUAUCUCCCUUGUUUUUAUAUCUCCCCCGAACCCUGGGCCUCUCACUCUUUUAUACUCUCUCUCAGUUCCCAUCCACGCACAGCAGGCCACGCCACCUCACCAGGCACGCAGCUUCAGCUAAUCAGGGCAGCAGGGGCAAAUCUCCACCAAAUUGGAUUCACCUGUAUCCUGGUACACCUGUGCAGCACUCAAGAUGUUUGUGUCUUAUAUGAGGAAGUCAGGUGCAAGUCAUAUGACUUAGCUGCAGUCCCUGGCGCCUUUGGGACUGCCGCCACACCCGCUCCCCACACUUUAAUAUACUCACAAAGUAUGUGUAGUGGCUAUUCUUGGUUGUCAACUUGACUAUAUCUGGGAUGAACUACAAUCCAGAAUUGGAAGGCUCAUCAGUGACCCUAAUCUGGAGGCUGGGAGAUAGAAGUUUCUGACCUGGAUCUUGGCAUGGAGGUCUUGAGGCAUAGUGGCUAUGGAUUCCAGAAUAGUAAGGCAGGGAGAUCUCCAAAUUCAAGGUCAUCUGGGAUUAAAGGUGUGGUGACACACACCUUGAAUCUGGGCUACACCUUCUGCUGGAGACCUACAUAAGGACAUUGGAAGAAGGGAGAUUCUCCUUCGCCUGCUUGCUGUGUGGGACUGAGCAACUGCUAGAUCCUUGGACUUCCAUUCACAGCUACUACUGAACCAUUGUCAGGAAUUGGACUGCAGACUGUAAGUCAUCAAUAAAUUCCUUUACUAUAUAGAGACUAUCCAUAAGUUCUGUGACUCUAGAGAACCCUGACUAAUACAGUAUGGAAACAUCACAAUCAAAUAUUACUAUUACUGAGACAGGAGAGAGAGAGAGAGAGAGAGAGAGAGAGAGCACAGAUCCAUUUGCCUCUAUCUCUUAAGUGGGAUUAAAGACAUUAAAAGAUUAAAGGCAUGCACCACAAUGUC
Long non-coding RNA from Mus musculus (house mouse), 1400 nucleotides. RefSeq annotates it as predicted gene, 36513. The transcript is spliced from 2 exons. Lineage: Eukaryota; Metazoa; Chordata; Mammalia; Rodentia; Muridae. The record is from RefSeq and is a predicted model, not a curated record.